GGGGCUGAGGCUCAGUGGUAGAGCACUCAUCUGGCAUGUGUGAGGCCCUAGGUUUGAUCCUCAGCACCA
RNAcentral lists this transfer RNA (69 nucleotides) under Marmota monax (woodchuck). It matches the Rfam family "tRNA". From Rfam's summary of the family: Transfer RNA (tRNA) molecules are approximately 80 nucleotides in length. Their secondary structure includes four short double-helical elements and three loops (D, anti-codon, and T loops). The record is from Rfam by way of RNAcentral. Lineage: Eukaryota; Metazoa; Chordata; Mammalia; Rodentia; Sciuridae.